Molecule: non-coding RNA, 109 nt
Filed under: Cellulomonas sp.
Lineage: Bacteria; Bacillati; Actinomycetota; Actinomycetes; Micrococcales; Cellulomonadaceae
Description: SAM-IV sequence
Rfam family: SAM (S-adenosyl methionine) riboswitch aptamer
About the family: SAM-IV is a mRNA element that regulates gene expression via direct sensing of S-adenosylmethionine (SAM or AdoMet). SAM-IV riboswitches share conserved nucleotide positions with the previously described SAM-I riboswitches sequence analysis and molecular recognition experiments suggest that SAM-I and SAM-IV riboswitches share similar ligand binding sites, but have different scaffolds.
Source: RNAcentral
GGUCACGAGAACCAGCGCCAAGCCCCGGCUCGCUGGUCGGCAACCCCGGUCACGACGGGGUGCUCCCGGGGGAGACCGGGCCGGCCCUUGGGGUCGGCAACCGUGACGG